AAUAAUUAAACCGCAUAUACGAUACUAUUUAAAACUUGAAAUAACAAAACUCAGCUAAAAGUAAUUUAACAGAGAGAAAAGCCCUUAAGACAGCCAUACUGCGACAAACACAAUCAAAUCUUUCAAGACGAAGCCAUAAUGCAACAAGGAUUAGAAACAUUGUGAGUGAAAGGACAGAAGAAGAAGCAGGAAUUGCGCGUGAAGAGCGCCGCGUUAGUAUGGCUCUACUUCGUACUUCUCAAUCACACUAGCAAAGUGAUGCAGCCCGUGAGACAGCUCGGUUAACAUUGCGAAAUCGUCGAGCAAACCGCAGAGCUCAACAGGGAAACGAUUGUGCUGCCUUAGUGGGAAAAUAAAAUUGCCAUCACUAAAUCCACCACCAGAGAAACUAUAUUCAUUGCUUCGCGGCGAAACACCCGAAUCACGAAAUUUUUUAGCAAGCACUCAAAAGUACAAUGGUUGUUUCCAAAUGACGUCAUUUGAGGCAGAUAUUAUCGAAGAACAAGGAUUUAAUCCGACAUUCAGGAUACAGGGACAGAUUCACCAUCGAAUUGGAUCAUUACAACCUCUAGAGGAUGCACAGCAUUAGUUUUUACAAAUAUACUUCAUGGGCACCAUGUAGGAACAACUUGAUCGACGUCAAGAGAUAAAUGCAGCAGUGAGAAGAGCAAUUCUUCAAGAUCUGCAAUAGCUACUUCACAAACAUCAUGCGUUGGUCAGGCUGUUUAAGAGUGAAUUGGAAUGCAUGCAAACCAUGAUUACAAAGUCAUCAUCAGAGCAGAUAAACGACCAUCUGGAACACAAAAACGCACUUUUAACGCUCCAACAAUAGGUGAAGUUGCAAUCCUGAUUGUUGGUGAAAACUUGGAAACACGC
Long non-coding RNA from Bactrocera latifrons, 876 nucleotides. RefSeq lists it as uncharacterized. The record is from RefSeq and is a predicted model, not a curated record. Lineage: Eukaryota; Metazoa; Arthropoda; Insecta; Diptera; Tephritidae. The transcript has 4 exons.